This 154-nucleotide ribosomal RNA is filed under the name Staphylococcus aureus. RNAcentral describes it as "partial 16S ribosomal RNA". It matches the Rfam family "Bacterial small subunit ribosomal RNA", at positions 1388 to 1533 of the family's 1533-position model. The record is from RNAcentral. Lineage: Bacteria; Bacillati; Bacillota; Bacilli; Caryophanales; Staphylococcaceae.
CACCGCCCGUCACACCACGAGAGUUUGUAACACCCGAAGCCGGUGGAGUAACCUUUUAGGAGCUAGCCGUCGAAGGUGGGACAAAUGAUUGGGGUGAAGUCGUAACAAGGUAGCCGUAUCGGAAGGUGCGGCUGGAUCACCUCCUUUCUAAGGA